AUUGAACGCUGGCGGCAGGCCUAACACAUGCAAGUCGAGCGGAUGAGAAGAGCUUGCUCUUCGAUUCAGCGGCGGACGGGUGAGUAAUGCCUAGGAAUCUGCCUGGUAGUGGGGGACAACGUUUCGAAAGGAACGCUAAUACCGCAUACGUCCUACGGGAGAAAGCAGGGGACCUUCGGGCCUUGCGCUAUCAGAUGAGCCUAGGUCGGAUUAGCUAGUUGGUGAGGUAAUGGCUCACCAAGGCUACGAUCCGUAACUGGUCUGAGAGGAUGAUCAGUCACACUGGAACUGAGACACGGUCCAGACUCCUACGGGAGGCAGCAGUGGGGAAUAUUGGACAAUGGGCGAAAGCCUGAUCCAGCCAUGCCGCGUGUGUGAAGAAGGUCUUCGGAUUGUAAAGCUCUUUUGUCAGGGAAGAAACGGUGAGUUCUAAUACAGCUUGCUAAUGACGGUACCUGAAGAAUAAGCACCGGCUAACUACGUGCCAG
RNAcentral lists this ribosomal RNA (488 nucleotides) under uncultured bacterium. RNAcentral describes it as "bacterial SSU rRNA". It matches the Rfam family "Bacterial small subunit ribosomal RNA", at positions 30 to 511 of the family's 1533-position model. The record is from RNAcentral.